AGCGAACGCUGGCGGCAGGCCUAACACAUGCAAGUCGAGCGCCCCGCAAGGGGAGCGGCAGACGGGAGAGUAACACGUGGGAACGUACCCUUCAGUACGGAACAACCAAGGGAAACUUUGGCUAAUACCGUAUACGUCCGUAAGGAGAAAGAUUUAUCGCUGAAGGAUCGGCCCGCGUCUGAUUAGCUAGUUGGUGAGGUAACGGCUCACCAAGGCGACGAUCAGUAGCUGGUCUGAGAGGAUGAUCAGCCUCACUGGGACUGAGACACGGCCCAGACUCCUACGGGAGGCAGCAGUGGGGAAUAUUGGACAAUGGGCGCAAGCCUGAUCCAGCCAUGCCGCGUGGGUGAUGAAGGCCCUAGGGUUGUAAAGCCCUUUCGGCGGGGAAGAUAAUGACGGUACCCGCAGAAGAAGCCCCGGCUAACUUCGUGCCAGCAGCCG
This 441-nucleotide ribosomal RNA is filed under the name uncultured bacterium. RNAcentral describes it as "bacterial SSU rRNA". It matches the Rfam family "Bacterial small subunit ribosomal RNA", at positions 29 to 517 of the family's 1533-position model. The record is from RNAcentral.